Molecule: transfer RNA, 67 nt
Filed under: Marmota monax (woodchuck)
Lineage: Eukaryota; Metazoa; Chordata; Mammalia; Rodentia; Sciuridae
Description: tRNA.Ala
Source: RNAcentral
GGUUGUGGCUCAGCGGUAGAGCAGUUACCUAGCAUGUGCAGGGCCCUGGGUUCGAUCCUCAGCCCCA